GGAAUUUUCCGCAAUGGGCGAAAGCCUGACGGAGCAACGCCGCGUGAGGGAUGAAGGCCUCUGGGCUGUAAACCUCUUUUAUCAAGGAAGAAGAUCUGACGGUACUUGAUGAAUAAGCCACGGCUAAUUCCGUGCCAGCAGCCGCGGUAAUACGGGAGUGGCAAGCGUUAUCCGGAAUUAUUGGACGUAAAGCGUCCGCAGGCGGUCUGUCAAGUCUGCUGUUAAAGCGUGGAGCUUAACUCCAUUUCGGCAGUGGAAACUGACAGACUAGAGUGUGGUAGGGGCAGAGGGAAUUCCCGGUGUAGCGGUGAAAUGCGUAGAUAUCGGGAAGAACACCAGUGGCGAAGGCGCUCUGCUGGGCCAUAACUGACGCUCAUGGACGAAAGCCAGGGGAGCGAAAGGGAUUAGAUACCCCUGUAGUC
Molecule: ribosomal RNA, 422 nt
Filed under: uncultured cyanobacterium
Lineage: Bacteria; Bacillati; Cyanobacteriota
Description: bacterial SSU rRNA
Rfam family: Bacterial small subunit ribosomal RNA
Source: RNAcentral